Molecule: unclassified non-coding RNA, 1427 nt
Filed under: uncultured fungus
Lineage: Eukaryota; Fungi
Description: sequence contains 18S rRNA gene, ITS1, 5.8S rRNA gene, ITS2, 28S rRNA gene
Rfam family: Eukaryotic large subunit ribosomal RNA (bases 487-1427)
Source: RNAcentral
GGAAGGAUCAUUACCGAGUGCGGGCCCUCUGGGCCCAACCUCCCCACCCGUGUUUAUCGUACCUUGUUGCUUCGGCGGGCCCGCCGCUCUGGCGCCCGCCGAAGACACCAUCGAACGCUGUCUGAAGAUUUGCAGUCUGAGCUUAUUAGCUAAAUCGGUUAAAACUUUCAACAACGGAUCUCUUGGUUCCGGCAUCGAUGAAGAACGCAGCGAAAUGCGAUAAGUAAUGUGAAUUGCAGAAUUCAGUGAAUCAUCGAGUCUUUGAACGCACAUUGCGCCCCCUGGUAUUCCGGGGGGCAUGCCUGUCCGAGCGUCAUUGCUGCCCUCAAGCACGGCUUGUGUGUUGGGCCGCCGUCCCCCCUCUCGGGGGACGGGCCCGAAAGGCAGCGGCGGCACCGCGUCCGGUCCUCGAGCGUAUGGGGCUUCGUCACCCGCUCCGUAGGCCCGGCCGGCGCCUGCCGACGACCAUCAAUCUCUUUCUCAGGUUGACCUCGGAUCAGGUAGGGAUACCCGCUGAACUUAAGCAUAUCAAUAAGCGGAGGAAAAGAAACCAACAGGGAUUGCCCUAGUAACGGCGAGUGAAGCGGCAAGAGCUCAAAUUUGAAAGCUGGCCCCCUCGGGGUCCGCAUUGUAAUUUGCAGAGGAUGCUUCGGGAGCGGCUCCCAUCUAAGUGCCCUGGAACGGGCCGUCAUAGAGGGUGAGAAUCCCGUCUGGGAUGGGGUGUCCGCGCCCGUGUGAAGCUCCUUCGACGAGUCGAGUUGUUUGGGAAUGCAGCUCUAAAUGGGUGGUAAAUUUCAUCUAAAGCUAAAUAUUGGCCGGAGACCGAUAGCGCACAAGUAGAGUGAUCGAAAGAUGAAAAGCACUUUGAAAAGAGAGUUAAAAAGCACGUGAAAUUGUUGAAAGGGAAGCGCUUGCGACCAGACUCGCCCGCGGGGUUCAGCCGGCAUUCGUGCCGGUGUACUUCCCCGUGGGCGGGCCAGCGUCGGUUUGGGUGGCCGGUCAAAGGCUCCCGGAAUGUAACGCCUCUCGGGGCGUCUUAUAGCCGGGGGUGCAAUGCGGCCUGUCUGGACCGAGGAACGCGCUUCGGCACGGACGCUGGCAUAAUGGUCGUAAGCGACCCGUCUUGAAACACGGACCAAGGAGUCUAACAUCUACGCGAGUGUUCGGGUGUCAAACCCGUGCGCGCAGUGAAAGCGAACGGAGGUGGGAACCCUUUGGGUGCACCAUCGACCGAUCCUGAUGUCUUCGGAUGGAUUUGAGUAAGAGCGUAGCUGUUGGGACCCGAAAGAUGGUGAACUAUGCCUGAAUAGGGCGAAGCCAGAGGAAACUCUGGUGGAGGCUCGCAGCGGUUCUGACGUGCAAAUCGAUCGUCAAAUUUGGGUAUAGGGGCGAAAGACUAAUCGAACCAUCUGGUAGCUGGUUCCUGC